Molecule: long non-coding RNA, 849 nt
Organism: Cercocebus atys (sooty mangabey)
Lineage: Eukaryota; Metazoa; Chordata; Mammalia; Primates; Cercopithecidae
Exons: 3
Source: RefSeq, a predicted model, not a curated record
CACUGAAUAUUCUUUGCACUUUUAAAAUUCUUAUACCCUGUGUGUGAUUCACCCGUUUAAAAAAUAAAUAAAUAGAUACAGGGCUUACCCAUAGUCAGACCCAUAGUAAGUACUCAGUUAACUGUUACACCCAUUUUGCAGGUGUUUUCAUUCAACAGCUAUCUAUUGAGUUGCUACUGCAUACCAGGCACUGCACUAGAUGCUGAGGAAGCAGUCAUGAGCAAGAAAGACGAGGUCCCUGUGCUCACAGUGGCAGAGCAAGGCAUAAAAUAUGUCCAGAUGGUAAUGAGCGCUAAACUGCAAGGAAAAAGACACGCAAGAGACCAACUCACACAAUCAGUGGAAGCCCAAGAUGAAGAACUUGAGACUCAGAGAGGACAAGCAGCUUCCUCAAGAUCAUGCAGCUCUUGCUGGGGAAAACCUAGCUGAAGGCUCAUCUGUGUGACUCCAAGGCCCCUGCCCUGAUCCCUGGUUCAGGUCCAUGUUUCCAUGGUAUAUUCAUUUCCCAGGGCUGCUGAAACAAGGUACCAGCAUCCAGGUAACUCAGAACAAUAACACUUACUCUCUCAUGGUUCUGGAGGCCAGAAGUUGAAAUCAGGGUGUCAGCAGGGCCACGCUCCCUCCAGAGGCUCUAGGCUCUAGGGGAGAACACUUCCUUGCCUCCUCUAGCUGCUGGAAACUAUUGGUGAUCCCUGACUUGUGGUCUUGUGGCUGCAUCACUCUAAACUCAGCUUUAGUGGCCACAUCACCCAUUCCUCAUGUCUCAAGUCUCCUCUUUCUCUUAUAAAGACACUUGUCAUUGGAUUUAGGACCCACCUAGAUAAUCCAGGAUGAUGUCAUUUCAAGCUC